CGCGUAGGCGGGAUGGCAAGUCGGUCGUGAAAUCCUUCGGCUCAACCGAAGAACGUCGAUCGAUACUGCCGUUCUCGAGGGUUGCAGAGGAGACUGGAAUUCCCGGUGUAGCGGUGAGAUGUGUAGAGAUCGGGAGGAACACCGGUGGCGAAGGCGGGUCUCUGGGCAACUCCUGACGCUGAGGCGCGAAAGCGUGGGAGCAAACG
RNAcentral lists this ribosomal RNA (206 nucleotides) under uncultured bacterium. RNAcentral describes it as "partial 16S ribosomal RNA". It matches the Rfam family "Bacterial small subunit ribosomal RNA", at positions 568 to 774 of the family's 1533-position model. The record is from RNAcentral.